Molecule: long non-coding RNA, 630 nt
Filed under: Felis catus (domestic cat)
Lineage: Eukaryota; Metazoa; Chordata; Mammalia; Carnivora; Felidae
Description: lncRNA (ENSFCAG00000049262.1)
Source: RNAcentral
UGACAUUUGGCACUCAGGCUUUACGUACUUAAAAUGUAUCCUCUCAAGUUGAAUCAUUGCCAGAGGACAUGAGACUAGUUAACGUAUCCAUUUUACAGAAAUAGAAACUGAGACUCAGAGCGGAGGCGACUAGUCUGUCGACACUCAGCUAAAGGAGCAGCUACAGCCUGGAUUCCAACUCCUGUCUGACCACAUCCAGAGUAUUUCCUUUGAUUUGUGGAACACUCGGGAUUCACGGGGUCCCACUGGGAGCCUGUGGAGGGUGCAAGGCCCAAUUUCUCAGGUGUGCUCAGGCAGAGAGAGAAGGCGACCUGAGAACUGCUCAGAGCAGCUCCCUGCGACUGCUGAGCCCCUGGCCGGUGGCACAGUUGGUCCAGCAGGGUGUCCACAGAAGGGAUGGAUCUUUCCCCAGGGAUCUUCUCACCCAGCAAGGGCAGCUCUGUGCUCUCCAUGGACAUUGUCCCUCUGCUGUGGGCUGGCAGCCAGCAGGCCUGGUAAGUCAUAUCAACUCUUAAGCCUCAGUUUCUCCAUUUGUCAAAAAAAAAGUUUCAGGGGGUGGUUGUGAGGUUUCGAAGCCAUUCAAUCCUAUGUGUCUGUAAUUGCUCUUCCAAUGCCCUGGGCACACACAAG